UUUUUUUUCUUUUUCUUCUCUCUCUUUUUCUUUUUUUUUUCUUUCCUUUUUUUCUCUCUUUUUUCUCUCUUUUUUUUCUCCCUCUUUCCAAGACAAACUAGAUAAGAUGCAGAUUGGAUCAGGCAAAGAUGUGAAUGACCUCAACUAUGAUUAUGACAAUGAACAGCGCGUAGCACGUGGUGGAAAUUAAUAGAUGGGAUGGUGGACUGCGGAAGGGAUAACGAUGCAGCGGCGGCGUGACUAAUGUGAACAGAACUCGAAACUCUAAAGGAACUAGACACUAAGACCAGCAACUGACACGACGAUGCAACCGAUAAUUCAACUAUGCAAGCAACGAAUAGAAAAUUGCAAAGGCUCAGACUGGCUUGGAUAAAGGAUGAACAGAUCUAACUUUUUUUGUGGCUCUUUCAUGAACUAUAGGUAUGAAUGACAGAUGAGAUCUAAACUAUGAAAAACUGUAAAAUCUCACCGAGCAACCUGAAAACUGAUACCACUUGAUAGAGGCGGGGUGUCCCGAUCUUUCGAUGAGAUGAUAACUAUCGAUUUGGUGAAGAUGACUUUGACGAUCCGACUACAAACGUGCACGACGUUGCGCCUUAGCAAUCGCUAAACCAACUCCGAGAGGUUAUUGACCACGCUGGAGCACAAUCAACCUGACCACGAAGGUCUAUUUCUGCAAGCAAUCGAAGAACAAGCAAGAAUAUGAUAAAAGCAAUCUGAAUAUUGCGAGUAUAUAUGAAGUAUUGAUAAAGGUGGGGAUCCAUAAGCGGUCUUGGUCUGGUCGUUGGACACAAACGAAAUACACGAAGUUGCAAUGGCUAACUUUUAACUAAACAAAUCCCCAGGAAAAGCUACUAGAUGGAUCUACUUAUAUAGGAGCAAGGGGUGGCGGCCAAGGAGGUGGGAGGACGUCCCAAGGCAGGCUAAAACUAAAUCUAGGUCGUACAAGGCCAAUGGGCCCAAGUGGAGGUGAUGUAACGCCUUUGGACUUGUAGUUUGACUCGGAUUCUGCUGCAGCAUCAGAUUGUUUCGUCCACAACUCAACGCUCCGGACGCAUUUGAUGGUGAUUCCAAUUGGGUUGGAAAGUGCACGAAAUCUAGUUUCCAACAAAAAAAGAAUCACCCAAUUCGGAGUCCGUAUGAAAAACUUGUGUGCGUUUUGAGUCAGGUAUGUAUGUGCAGUCCGAAUCUGAAUCCAGAACGUGAGAGACUUGGACUCUAUCUUCUCUUGGGCCAAAAGUGACGUGAGAGAACUUUUUGGACAGCAAAUAAACAUCUCUUUCUUCCUUGUCUUCAUAUGUGGAUUGUAUAAAUGUCCCAUACACCUGCAAUUAGACAAAACACAAAAGUGUGUGAAAUAUUUUUGUUCUGGAUAACAUAAAUAGAUUAUUGAAUAGUUUGCACUAGAAAUCACCUGACAAAUAUGCAUAUAUGCAAUAUUUUUGGUCAUAUCCAAGGUAGUCAUAUCCUCAUCAUCCUCCCCUUUUUGAAAAUAAAGCCGUCCUCGGCGUUGCUUAAUCUGAAAUGUGGCUAACAAAAGAGACAAGGUGUACAUGUUGUAUAUGUAUAUGUCAUCCAUUUUUACUUCCCUUGAUUUUUGCAUAUAUGACACAUGAAUAGAUGAGUAACUUGCAUAGUUCAUAAAAUCUAAAGCCAAAAAAUUAGCACAAGAAGUAGAAAGCAUGAAAAUAUUGCAACUCAGUUUGCACAUAUAAGUGAAGCUCUUAUUCAUUUCAAAAGAUUGACAAUGUUCAUCAUUAAACCAUCCCAACAUUGGUGAAUAAACCUUACUUGCAUCAAAUUUACAUGCUACAACAUGCUUAAAUAAGCAAACAUGCAAUAAGUCAUUCAACACAGAAUCAUCACCAAGAUUAGAGGUCAUAUCAAAAUGAUUAAACAUUGGUUCUUUUGCAUCAAUAGUUAAUUCAAUGGGUGCACUCAAAAUUGUUGGUAUUUCAGUUGUUUGAUCACAUGGCAAAGUCAAAUUAUCAACGUAGUCCUCUAAAAUAGGUGGUGUGAUCAAAGUAGUGGGUAGCUCAUCAGAUGGUGCAUUCAAAUUGACAAGGCAUUCAUCAUUCUCAUGUAGAGAUGGAAGAUCAGUACCUUUGUCAUUACCUCUUAUGAUCAACUCAGAUGAUGUAGCCACUCUCGGGGGUGAUGUGUCACAUGGUGGGGGUGAUGUAGUCCUGACAACAACGGAUGUGGUUGUCAUAGUAUGCCUAGUAGUUGAAGGAACAAUCAUAUCAACUCUUGGAAUGUGCACCGUGCGCUUGUUCUCCUCGUGGCCAACACGUCGUUUUAUUUCCUGUUCAGCUUUGCAAGCAAGAUGAAACAAAUGGUCCAUAGGAUAACACUCUUCAUGAAUUAGUAUCUCUUGAAUAUCACGGUUUAAUCCUCCCCAAAAUCUAUCCAUAAAAUCAUCUUCACUUUUUUCUAAAGAGGAAUGCAACAAGGUAGUUUGUAAAUCAUCAUAAUAGUUUGUUACAGUUUCACUACCUUGUUUUAAGUGUUGUAACUUCUUAAUCAUGUCACGAGUAUAAUAAGCAGGGACGAAAGUAUGUCGCAUAGCAAGUUUCAAAUCAUCCCAAGUAGUAGGUAUAUAAUCAGGGUGUAACCGACAAUAUUCACUCCACCAAACCAAAGCAUAACCAGUGAAAGAAACCAACCGCACCCUUAACCUUUUUAUGUUCAUUGAAAUUAUGGGAAGCAAAUAUAUUUUUUAUGUCGAACUCCCAUUCAAUAUAUAAAGCAGGUUUAAAACGGCCAUUAAAUGGUGGUAUAGAUACAUUAACCUGAUCAUGUGCAUUUGGAUGUUUGUGCACCUCUCGUGACGGUUGUGGUAUUUGCAAAGGUGGUGGCACGUCUCCCGCGAUCGACAAAGCCCAUGAAUUGACUCUGGAUCCUGUCAUGAUUAGUAGAACAAGAAACAAAACCCAAAAAUAAUGUUCCUAUAACUACUAGGAUGUGGUGGUAAAACGCUCACAGUAAAGCAAAUAUCAAUGUCUUACAAGUUCUUACCAUGCAGCAGGCGGUGAUCAGCAACCAGCGGUGUCAAGUAACUCCGAAUAUUGAGUAAAGCGAUUGCCAGGGGAGCGUACGUAUACACGAUGUAGAAAUAUGUGGAGCUGGGUUGGCUAUAUAUGGUAGCAAAAGAUUAGCAAUAAUCAAUUCAAAGAUGCAAUGUUGAAUAAACGCUCAACGACGGUACUGUGCUGGUCCUAGGCUAGACCGGACUAGAGACGCGAGCCUAGAACACUAAUGAGGUCACGGCGUAGCACAACUAGCAUCAAUGAAGGAUACUAAGUAGCUCUUGACAGCAAGAUAUAAGUGAAGAUCACAACGGCAGUGAAGAUAAUGAUGAAAAACAACUGCCAAGCAGGAUAUACAACAACUCUCUCUCCAACUUUCCUCUUGAAAAGUUUGAGACAAUUUUCUGAUAAAUUCUUUCAAAGAAUGCUACUAACUCAAGCUUUCCAAUGCAAAAGAAUCACUCAAUUCCGAGUUGAUAUGAGAAGUCAAAGAAUUUUAAAACUGGCCUGAAAAAUUGGAACAAGUUGUGUUCACGAACUUCGGAGGGCAAAAAGACCUAUUUAGAAGCCGAUUUUGAGGUGUCAAAUAUUGAACUAGCUUCUGCAACUAUUUAGAUGCGGCUCGUCGCUAUCUUCAAUUUGAGUACUCACGGAGCCAAAACUGACUUCGUAUGAGGAAGAUAUACCUGUUUUACUGAACAGUGCGCAAAACAGAUUCCAAUCCGAAUUCAGGUACGAGAUUGAUUCUAGAUAGAUCCGAUUUUUUUCUUCUUCUCUCUUUUUUUCCUCACGCUUUUUUUUUCUUUUUCUUCUCUCUCUUUUUCUUUUUUUUUCUUUCCCUUUUUUCUCUCUUUUUUCUCUCUUUUUUUUCUCCCUCUUUCCAAGACAAACUAGAUAAGAUGCAGAUUGGAUCAGGCAAAGAUGUGAAUGACCUCAACUAUGAUUAUGACAAUGAACAACGCGUAGCAUGUGGUGGAAAUUAAUAGAUGGGAUGGUGGACAGCGGAAGGGAUAAUGAUGCAGCAGCGGCGUGACUAAUGUGAACAGAACUCGAAACUCUAAACGAACUAGACACUAAGACCAGCAACUGACACGACGAUGCAACCGAUAAUUCAACUAUG
This 4149-nucleotide long non-coding RNA is filed under the name Triticum aestivum (bread wheat). Its description in RNAcentral is "long non-coding RNA (TAES_LNC011895)". The record is from RNAcentral. Lineage: Eukaryota; Viridiplantae; Streptophyta; Magnoliopsida; Poales; Poaceae.